GACGAACGCUGGCGGCGUGCUUAACACAUGCAAGUCGAACGGAAAGGCCCUGCUUUUGUGGGGUGCUCGAGUGGCGAACGGGUGAGUAACACGUGAGUAACCUGCCCUUGACUUUGGGAUAACUUCAGGAAACUGGGGCUAAUACCGGAUAGGAGCUCCUGCUGCAUGGUGGGGGUUGGAAAGUUUCGGCGGUUGGGGAUGGACUCGCGGCUUAUCAGCUUGUUGGUGGGGUAGUGGCUUACCAAGGCUUUGACGGGUAGCCGGCCUGAGAGGGUGACCGGCCACAUUAGGACUGAGAUACGGCCCAGACUCCUACGGGAGGCAGCAGUGGGGAAUAUUGCACAAUGGGCGGAAGCCUGAUGCAGCAACGCCGCGUGCGGGAUGACGGCCUUCGGGUUGUAAACCGCUUUCGCCUGUGACGAAGCGUGAGUGACGGUAAUGGGUAAAGAAGCACCGGCUAACUAUGUG
This 468-nucleotide ribosomal RNA is filed under the name uncultured bacterium. Its description in RNAcentral is "partial 16S ribosomal RNA". It matches the Rfam family "Bacterial small subunit ribosomal RNA", at positions 28 to 507 of the family's 1533-position model. The record is from RNAcentral.